This 962-nucleotide long non-coding RNA is filed under the name Daphnia pulex (common water flea). RNAcentral's name for it is "uncharacterized LOC124203166, transcript variant X3". Lineage: Eukaryota; Metazoa; Arthropoda; Branchiopoda; Diplostraca; Daphniidae. The record is from RNAcentral.
AGUUUUGAAUCUUAAGUUGGUUGCACAGUCAGUCACAGACAGACAUGACAUUACACGUCAAAAAAGUUCAACAACGGAGAUCGGAUAACAAGUUAACUGUUUUUAAAUAAUUUCAGCUGAAGUUUUCAUGUACCUGGCCAACUAGGUGCUCGUGACAAUAUAAAUGAAAUGGAAAUGGCCUAAUUCAAUAAUGCAAGCUCACAACCAUUGUCUUAUGAAGCAAAAUCAUUUCUGUUGCAGAUAUUAAUGCCUUCGCUGGAUCCAAUUCUUUGCUAUUUUACGGACAACAGCAAGAAAAUGCUGCUACUCAAGAUUUUAUGAUGACCACCACUUUGUUCUAAUUUAGGACAAGGUUAAUCCCUUUCCACUGUUAUAGUUUUUUUUAAAUCGACAAGAGAUUGCUGGAAUCAAAGACUGAUAAUUUGUUUAGACGUAGAUAAAUUACAAGUGCAUAUCUGGGCUCCCUUCUUUUCUGUGGCCCUGUUUCCCUAACUAACCACUAACCAACGCCCGCCGGUGGUCACUCACCCGCUGUGAUAACCAGGAGGAGGGGGAGGGCUCUGGUCGAACGGGGACUUGGAAGGCCUAUGAUCUGAUGAAAGCUUUUGGAGGAUCAUGAGUCUAACCCGGAAGCCUAUUAUGACUAUAUCUCCCCGGAAAAACUUGCCUCGUACUUCUCUCUUCUUCUCGGUCCAGAUACAUAUCUCUGGGGGCCGUAGACAAAAUUCACUAAAUGUGCGAAUUCCAUCAAAGAAAUCCGCAGGCCAUGCGACACAAAAUGAGACAAAAAGCGAUGAUUUAUUUCUACGGAUACGUCACUUAAGUUAAUUCAACAAACAUUGUAUUGGGUGAUGGAUGGUUUGCUUCAACUUGUACUAAAUAAGAAAAGUAAAGAGGAGGAUUUCGAACCGAACGUUUUGUUUAUUAAAAUGAUAAAUACAUUUUGAUUUUAUGAUCAGGAA